GUUUACGGCCAUACCAGCCUGGGUACGCCCGAUCUCGUCUGAUCUCGGAAGCUAAGGAGAGUCGGGCCUGGUUAGUACUUGGAUGGGAGACCGCCUGGGAAUACCAGGUGCUGUAAGCU
Molecule: ribosomal RNA, 119 nt
Filed under: Salmo trutta (river trout)
Lineage: Eukaryota; Metazoa; Chordata; Actinopteri; Salmoniformes; Salmonidae
Source: RNAcentral